GGCGGUAUGGCUCGGGGUAGAGUGCAUGCUUAGCAUGCAUGAGGUCCUUGGUUCAAUCCCCAGUACCUCUA
RNAcentral lists this transfer RNA (71 nucleotides) under Camelus bactrianus (Bactrian camel). It matches the Rfam family "tRNA". Rfam says of the family: Transfer RNA (tRNA) molecules are approximately 80 nucleotides in length. Their secondary structure includes four short double-helical elements and three loops (D, anti-codon, and T loops). The record is from Rfam by way of RNAcentral. Lineage: Eukaryota; Metazoa; Chordata; Mammalia; Artiodactyla; Camelidae. RNAcentral also lists the same sequence under 1 other name.